This is a non-coding RNA of Pelobates cultripes (western spadefoot toad), 229 nucleotides long. NCBI's taxonomy places the organism in Eukaryota, Metazoa, Chordata, Amphibia, Anura, Pelobatidae. The record is from the annotation of a GenBank genome assembly.
CAGUAAUGUAUUGUAGAACUGCAGAGCAAUACAACUCAGAGCAAAAUGUGCAGUCUGUAUGAAUAUCACAGAGCUUCACAAUAAAUUUCACUGUGUGCUGUGUGAGUAUAUCAUAGAGCUCCAAACUGACACAGUAAUAAUAUAAUGUGAGUAUAAUGGUUUAUAAAGGACCAAUGAGACCAUUGUGGGAACAUUUGGCUGGAGCCAUGAUGUUAAUGCAGUUUCUAUA